UGCCAGCCGCCGCGGUAAGACGGAGGGUGCAAACGUUGUUCGGAAUCACUGGGCAUAAAGAGCAUGUAGGCGGUCCGCUAAGUCCGAUGUGAAAGCCCCCGGCUCAACCGGGGAACUGCAUUGGAUACUGGCAGACUUGAGGAUGGUAGGGGUGAGUGGAACUCCAGGUGGAGCGGUGAAAUGCGUAGAUAUCUGGAGGAACACCUGUGGCGAAAGCGGCUCACUGGACCAUUUCUGACGCUGAGAUGCGAAAGCUAGGGUAGCGAACGGGAUUAGAUA
This 279-nucleotide ribosomal RNA is filed under the name uncultured bacterium. RNAcentral describes it as "partial 16S ribosomal RNA". It matches the Rfam family "Bacterial small subunit ribosomal RNA", at positions 506 to 784 of the family's 1533-position model. The record is from RNAcentral.